Carassius carassius (crucian carp) is the source of this 3436-nucleotide RNA transcript. RefSeq lists it as uncharacterized. The record is from RefSeq and is a predicted model, not a curated record. Lineage: Eukaryota; Metazoa; Chordata; Actinopteri; Cypriniformes; Cyprinidae. The transcript is spliced from 4 exons.
CCGCAAAUAAUAUAAACUAACUGCAGUUUAUUGGGUCAUCUUGAACUGGCCAUCCCAGAAUCAAUCAAGUCUCAAUUCAAUUCAGUUGGCACUGCUUGGGAAAAGUUCAAAAGUGAAUGCAAAUGGAUAUGAAGCCUUUUUUGACCCUUUGAUAAAAGAUUUAAAGUGUCUUGAGCAGGAUGGCAUCUUUGUUCAAAGGCUUGGAAAGAACGUUAGGGGAGCAGUGUUCACUGUUUCUGCGGAUAAUCUUGGAGCACAUGGACUUGCAGGGUUUCAAGAGAGUUUCAGGGUGGAGAAGUUCUGUCGAUUUUGUUUGGCAUCUUUAAACGACAUUCAAAACACAGAGGUGAGAGAAGGUAUUUUUCAGCUAAGAAGUCCAGAACAACAUGAUUGCUGCAUAACAGAGUUGAACAGCAGUGAGACUUUAUCGUCUGUGGAUGGUGUGAAAUCUGAAUGUGUUCCACAGAAACAUCUUAAAUUCUUCCACACCAUUACUGGCUUCCCUCCAGAUCUAAUGCAUGACCUUUUUGAGGGAAUAGUGCCUUUUGAGAUAAGUUUAUGUCUGAAGAAAUGGAUUGAGUCUAAAUAUUUUACUCUUGAAGAGCUAAACAACAAAAUCCACUCAUUUCAAUACUGCUUUUCUGACCAGGUUAACAGACCUCAAAAAAUUCCAAAGACUUUUUCUUCAAAGAAAACAAUUGGAGGAAACGCUCACGAAAACUGGACCUUACUAAGACUGAUAUCUCUGAUGAGUGGUGGUUUGGUGCCUGAGAGUGACAAGACGUGGGAUCUCAUCAUGGAUUUGAAAGAUAUUGUCGAGCUUGUGGUAAGCCAAAAACUUACAGUGGAGGCUGUCUGGUAUCUGGAAAGCAAGAUUUCCUGCCAUCGUGAGUUGUUUAAAGAGGUCUUUCCUGAUGCAUACUUGCGUCCAAAACAUCACUUUCUUGAACACUGUCCUUACCUGAUCUGUUGCUUUGGUCCUCUAGUGGAUCUGUGGACAAUGCGCUUUGAGGCAAAGCACAGUUUUUUCAAGAAGGUUGUUCAUGAAACACAGAAUUUCAGAAACCUUCUCAAGACGUUAUCCAACAAGCAUCAACUCAUGAUGGCAUGCACAAUUGACUCGCAUAGCUUUUUUAAAGCACCUCUACAUGUCGAAAAUGUUAAGGUACUUAAAAUAUCCUCUCUUGAUGCAAGGCUGAGAUUGGCAGUUGAGAACAAGUAUGCAAACCAAACUUCCUUUUCUUUAACCACAAAGGCAACUGUACAUGGAACCCAGUACAGUCGAGGAAUGAUUCUGUGUAUUGGAAAUGGAAAUGGAUUUCCAGAGUUUGGUCAGAUUGAUCAUAUCCUAAUUUGUGGCACAGAGGUUGCAUUCAUUGUGCACAGACUUACCUCAUGUUACAUUGAACAUUUCCGGGCGUAUGAGAUAAAUCAAAGUACGCACUGUGAUGUUGCAAUUGUGACUCCACAAGAGCUUGUUGAUUUUUAUCCUCUGGCUGCUUACAAUGUUGGCGGAAGACGCAUGGUUGUACCAAAGAGAUUUUUACUUGGUUGAUUACUUGGUUGUUCUAAACUUACCAAUUCUGCUCAUACUGUCCCCUGUCCUCCAGGUUGCAAUGUUGCUGCGAGUCAUUCUUUCACCUGACAACGUUAGAAUAAUAUCUGUGCCUACCCCAUCCUCAGUAGAAGAACUUUGCACGUGUAUUGUGUGAAAAAUUGCAAAUAGAGAAAGGCUUUACCAUUCAGUAUGAAGAUCCAGAUUUCAAUAAUCAACUUUGUAAUUUGCAUGACAUCUCCGAGCUUCCACCAGAAAAAGCUACUUUGAGACUUCAUUGGGAAUUAUUUUUAACCCCAAUUUCAGUGCAUUCUGAAUUGACAGAUCCCCCUGCAGAUGCAGAAAGCACAUUAUCCGUCCAACCAUCUACAUCAGCAACUUCCUCAGAUUCAACACAGGUCGCUUCUCUAUUAAGGUCAGAACAUUGGCCAAGCAAGUUUCCAAUACCCUGCUUCUCCUAUGAUGUGGAACUAAAGCUUCAGAAAGCCAAUGAGGAAUACGAGAAAAAUGGAAAGUCCUUAACUGUCUCAAGAGACAUCUUGAUGGAAGUGUUGGGCAAGUUGGCAGAAGCCAUAUACACAUUUAAGGCAUACCCAAAGGACACUGAUUUGAAGAAGGUUGCAUCUGCAUUGAUAGAGAAGCAUCCCUGCCUUAAACGUCCUGGAUCUGAAACUGGAUGUGAAGGAUGGACAUUAAGUUUGAAGAACAAAAUGCAGAAUUACCAUCAAAAACUUCGUGAGCUUGGUUGUGCAGAAUUGAUACUGAAUAGACGAGAUGCAUCCAAACAAACAGUGAAAAGACCAAGAAGAUCUGAACUGAACAUUCUUCCUGACAUUCCAACUGGUUUUGAUGAAGAAGCUUUGGAGAAUGAACGCAAAUGGAUGGAAGAAGAGGUGAAGAAGAAAGAUGUGAACAUAUGAGAUUUGAACACAAAGAUGGAUUUCACCUUCUCUCUUAGAAGACGUGAGGUUGUUGAAGAUCAGCCUCUUGUAUCAACACUCAAUCAACGAUGGCCAGCACUCUUUAAUGAGGAACAGGUUUAUGCAGAAUUUAGAAGGAUCAACCAUUUAGACCUUAAAUCCACAUUCCUUACAUCAUUGGAUAACAACUCCAGAGGCUUGCUGAAACUCUUCAGGGCAAAAGUAAUACAGAGAGGCGAUUGUGACUUGGAGACUUUGCUGGACAAUCUAGAUGAACAGAUGGCAGACUUAACUGUGCAGAGAAGGGCUACUGCUCUUCGGGGUCUUCCUUUUUAUUUCAAGGAACAUGGAACCAUAUGCAAGACUAUUCUGAGUUCAGAGGCAUUGGAGCAUCACAAAGUUGGAAUGAAAAUGGGAAUUCUUGAAGUGGUGAGCAGCAACAGUUCCACUUCAAGAUCCCUCUCCGAUGUGGUAAAUGUUGCAAUUGUCCUUGAAGAGGAAGUUGUCCUGGAAAACAUGGGAGACUUUGUGAGUGCGUUCAUUGUCCUCUUUGGCAUGCUCUACGCACUAAACAUGGAGUACAACAAGGACUUAAGAUAUACUUUUGAAUUCAUUCAGAAGGUCUUUUUGAACAUGGGAACUGAGUGCAGCAAAAAAGUGCAAACUCUGAUGAGCAAAUUAUUGGAAAACUAAGUGAAAUUUCACUUAACCCUUACGGGAGAGGUACCCUUAAGCUCAAAGUACCUUUUGUGAGAAUGUUUUUUGCUGCUUUCUAUAUAUUUGUAAAUGUGUUUACAUGUUUAAUAUUUGAUGAGUAAGAUGCAGUUUCAUGAGCUUAUAUUAAGAUGAAAUUACACUAAACACAACCCUGAAGUAAUUUUUUACUUCAGACUUUUGUAGCGUUUCAAAUAUUUGUAAAUGUUUUACAAAAAUUCAAGUAAAUUUAUGAAUAUUUAAAGUU